RNAcentral lists this ribosomal RNA (253 nucleotides) under uncultured bacterium. RNAcentral's name for it is "partial 16S ribosomal RNA". It matches the Rfam family "Bacterial small subunit ribosomal RNA", at positions 524 to 776 of the family's 1533-position model. The record is from RNAcentral.
UACGGGGGGGGCAAGCGUUGUUCGGAAUUACUGGGCGUAAAGGGCUCGUGGGCGGCCAACUAAGUCAGACGUGAAAUCCCUCGGCUCAACCGGGGAACUGCGUCCGAUACUGGAUGGCUUGAAUCCGGGAGAGGGAUGCGGAAUUCCAGGUGUAGCGGUGAAAUGCGUAGAUAUCUGGAGGAACACCGGUGGCGAAGGCGGCAUCCUGGACCGGCAUUGACGCUGAGGAGCGAAAGCCAGGGGAGCAAACGGG